GACGAACGCUGGCGGCGUGCUUAACACAUGCAAGUCGAACGGAAAGACCCUGCUCUUGUGGGGUGCACGAGUGGCGAACGGGUGAGUAACACACGAGUAUACUGACCUUGACUUAGGUCUAUCUCCAGGAAACUGGGGCUCAUACAGGAUAGAAGCUCUUGCUGCGUAGUGGGGGUUGGAAAGUUUCGGUGGUUGGGGAUGGACUCGCGGCUUAUCAGCUUGUUGGUGGGGUAGUGGCUUACCAAGGCUUUCACGGGUAGUCGGCCUGUGAGGGUGACCUGACACAUUGGGACUAAGGUACGGCCCAGUCACCUACGGGAGGCAGCAGUGGGGAAUAAUGCACAAUGAAGGGAAGCCUGAUGCAACAAUGUCACGAGCUGGAGUACGGCCUGCGAGUUGUAAACCGCUUUCGCCUGUAGCGGAGCGUGAGUGACGGUAAUGGGUAAAGAAGCACCGGCUAACUACGUG
Molecule: ribosomal RNA, 468 nt
Filed under: uncultured bacterium
Lineage: Bacteria
Description: partial 16S ribosomal RNA
Rfam family: Bacterial small subunit ribosomal RNA
Source: RNAcentral